Grammomys surdaster is the source of this 104-nucleotide small nuclear RNA. Lineage: Eukaryota; Metazoa; Chordata; Mammalia; Rodentia; Muridae. The record is from RefSeq and is a predicted model, not a curated record.
CUGCUUUAGCAGCAUACGCACAAAAAUUAAAAUACUAUAGAGAAGAUUAGCAUGAGCCAUGCAAAAGGAAUGAAACACAAAUUCAUGAAGCAUUCCAUUAUUUU